This 261-nucleotide ribosomal RNA is filed under the name Triticum aestivum (bread wheat). RNAcentral describes it as "partial small subunit ribosomal RNA". The record is from RNAcentral. Lineage: Eukaryota; Viridiplantae; Streptophyta; Magnoliopsida; Poales; Poaceae.
AUGAAUCGGAAGGCAGCGUCGGCGCUGGAUCUGGGAGUGGUGGAGCCGCUACCGUCUCCACUCGUAGAGAACUGGCCAGAUCCGCCCCAUGAGCUUCACAGGUGCCACCCCCUCCGCCAACAGCCAUGGUGGCCUCCCCCGCCCCGUAUCGACGCGGAUCCAGCCGCCAUCUCCCGCAGCAACGGCGGCCUCGCCCUGCUCCGGCCCCGCUCCUCCUCCUCCUCCGCGCCUUCGCCUUGCUCCCCAUCGCGGCGGCCAUGA